This is a long non-coding RNA of Arvicanthis niloticus (Nile rat), 1172 nucleotides long. RefSeq lists it as uncharacterized. Lineage: Eukaryota; Metazoa; Chordata; Mammalia; Rodentia; Muridae. The record is from RefSeq and is a predicted model, not a curated record.
CCUUGCUACCUCACAGCCUGGGACAGUUCCACCUUCUUGCCUCUUCGGACCAGGUCCUGUGGCCAUGAAGUCAUUUCCUGCCUCAGUGUCAGUGAAUCGGGUACCUUCCUAGGCCUAGGCACGGUCACUGGCUCUGUCGCCAUCUACAUAGCUUUCUCUCUCCAGCGCCUGUAUUAUGUGAAGGAGGCCCAUGGCAUUGUGGUGACAGAUGUGACCUUUCUACCUGAGAAGGGUUGUGGGCCAAAGCUUCUUGGGCCCCAUGAAACUGCUCUUUUCUCUGUGGCUGUGGAUAGUCGUUGCCAGUUGCACCUGCUGCCCUCACGGCGGAGUGUUCCUAUAUGGCUCCUGCUCGUGCUGUGUGUCGGCCUUAUUAUUGUAACCAUCCUGCUGCUCCAGAGUGCCUUCCCAGGUUUUCUUUAACCUCCUGACCGAUGGGAAUCAGCCUUGGACAGUGCCACCUUCCAGAGCAGAAUCAUGGAGCCCAACGGCUGAAGCUGCUUCUGAUGCGACUGAUGGGUACCGCUGGUCCCUCAGCCAAAACUUGCCGGUGGCCUCCCCAUCACUCUGGGUCUUGGGAGCCCUGCUUUCACCUGUGGACCCAUUUAGGACAGUGUGGUCUGAAGCUCAGGCCACACUGCCUGCCUUGUUCCCUCUGCCUCCCACGGCUCCAGAGUUGAGCUCUUCUUUUACUAGAAAUAUGUGAAGAUGCCCAAGAGCCUGGAGGCAUGGCCAUCCUUCUUAAAGAAACUGUGCCUCCCCUUCCGGCCUUCACACAAGGUCCUCAGCUCUGUUGAGACAGAGUCUGCACUGGCACUUGCUGUUAAGGCAGGAAGAGGCCCAAGGAAGACGCAGGUAGCGGUGAUCUGUGGCUCCUGUGGGUAGCACCAAGCCAGUCAGGCCAGAUACACAGUGAGUUCCUGAAUGGUCUACUGCAGCCUGAGGAAAGGGAAAGGGAACCUUGGCUUGCUAGGCAGAAAGAGUUGAUAUUUAAUAAAGAGAGAAAGAUUGGACCGAGACCCCAGCAGUCCUCUUGUCAGCUCUUUCCAUCUCCAGGAGUGAGUGUUCCCAGGUCAGGCAGCUCUACCGAGUGCUGGAAGAUGGCUCGGGCAUACUGAUGUAGCACUCGGUUCAUGUAACAGUGUUGCCAGGGCAGCAGCCCUUCCAGGAAGCUG